Molecule: long non-coding RNA, 839 nt
Filed under: Cyanistes caeruleus (blue tit)
Lineage: Eukaryota; Metazoa; Chordata; Aves; Passeriformes; Paridae
Description: lncRNA (ENSCCEG00000000888.1)
Source: RNAcentral
GCAGGUUAUCAACCGAGUAUAUACCUGCAAUCCUCCCCUUGCAGCUGCUGACAGCUCUUAAAACCUGUGUGCUUCGUGGUGUCUAUUGCCCAGCUGGCAACGAUUCCCUUGUGUUUGGUGCAUUAAGUCACACCCAGCUGUGUGGGAUGGCAGAGGCUGGUUCUGGGGUAACGAGGAAACGCAAGGCCUAAACACCUCUGGCUUGUCUGUCCAAGGAUCUGCCUCAGUUGUGGCUCCCAUCCUUCUGAAGAACUCUUCAGCACACUUUUGUGACUCCUGCCUCCAAGGUAUCAUCAGCUAUCCCCUGGAUCUUGCAGUGGAAGAGAUGCUGAACCACCAGCUGUUCCAUAUUCUACACCAUGUGUCUUUUUACCAUGCUCCUCUGAGAACCAUCUCUCCCGUCUCUGUUUCUUUGCAGACAAAAAGGGAGAAAGUGGGAUUGCCUUUGUUCUUUUGCGUGUUAAUAAAAAGGCCGCUUGUGGCUGUGUGCAGUGGCAACUGCAUCACAGAAUCUUAGAGGUGAUUAUUCACAGGUUAAGGAAAUAAUUCCUUUUUUUUGUCACUGCUGCACUGAAUUUCAUAGGCGUGUCUGUGGCUUGAUGCCUAAGAUAUUUAAAGCAGGUUUUAUUCUUACAGGGGUUUUGCACACUAAAGUGUCUGCCCAGGUUUUGUUUCCAAAAGUGAGGUAUAGUGCUGGGUGUUUAAUUUGGUAUGUUACUUGUUCUGUUGUGUAAAUAACUGCAGCUCCCUCCCUGUGCCUGUGUAUUGCAGGGGCAAGCGAGCGCUGGUUAUAAAGGUGGCGAUAAUUAGGAAGAAGCUGUUUAAGCUUGGAUAAAUGU